Molecule: ribosomal RNA, 630 nt
Filed under: Puccinia vaginatae
Lineage: Eukaryota; Fungi; Basidiomycota; Pucciniomycetes; Pucciniales; Pucciniaceae
Description: partial large subunit ribosomal RNA
Rfam family: Eukaryotic large subunit ribosomal RNA
Source: RNAcentral
AAAAAGCGGAGGAAAAGAAACUAACAAGGAUUCCCCUAGUAAUGGCGAAUGAAGAGGGAAAAGCCCAAAUUUGUAAUCUGGCUCUUUCAGAGUCCGAGUUGUAAUUUUAAGAACUGUUUUCAGUGCUGGACCAUGUAUAAGUCAGUUGAAAAGCUGCAUCAUAGAAGGUGAUAAUCCUGUUCAUGAUAUGGACUACCAGUGCAAUAUGAUACAGUCUCUAAGAGUCGAGUUGUUUGGGAAUGCAGCUCAAAGUGGGUGGUAAAUUCCAUCUAAGGCUAAAUAUUGAUGAGAGACCGAUAGCAAACAAGUACCGUGAGGGAAAGAUGAAAAGAACUUUGGAAAGAGAGUUAACAGUACGUGAAAUUGUUAAAAGGGAAACAAUUGAAGUUAGACUUGUUAUUAUUAGUUCAACCUUUUUGAAAGGAGUAUUCUAAUGAUUAACAGACCAACAUCAAUUUUUGGGUGUUGGAUAAGGGUUCAAGGAAAUGUAGCAGUCUCUGACUGUGUUAUAGUCCUGAGCUUUGAUACAAUGCUUAAGAUUGAGGAAUGCAGUAAGCCUUUUAGGUGGAACAAAUUAUUGUUCUUCUUACUGAGGAUGUUGGUGCAAUAGCUUUAAAUGACCCGUCUUGA